Molecule: ribosomal RNA, 433 nt
Filed under: uncultured bacterium
Lineage: Bacteria
Description: partial 16S ribosomal RNA
Rfam family: Bacterial small subunit ribosomal RNA
Source: RNAcentral
AACGAACGCUGGCGGUAUGCCUAACACAUGCAAGUCGAACGAGACCUUCGGGUCUAGUGGCGCACGGGUGCGUAACGCGUGGGAACCUGCCCUUAGGCUCGGAAUAACUCCUCGAAAGGGGUGCUAAUACCGGAUAACGUCCUCGGAUCAAAGAUUCAUCGUCUUUGGAUGGGCCCGCGUUGGUUUAGCUAGUUGGUAGGGUAAAAGCCUACCAAGGAGACGAUCCAUAGCUGGUCUGAGAGGAUGAUCAGCCACACUGGGACUGAGACACGGCCCAGACUCCUACGGGAGGCAGCAGUGGGGAAUAUUGGACAAUGGGCGAAAGCCUGAUCCAGCAAUGCCGCGUGAGUGAUGAAGGCCUUAGGGUUGUAAAGCUCUUUUACCCGGGAUGAUAAUGACAGUACCGGGAGAAUAAGCACCGGCUAACUCCGUG